Molecule: ribosomal RNA, 375 nt
Filed under: uncultured organism
Description: partial 16S ribosomal RNA
Rfam family: Bacterial small subunit ribosomal RNA
Source: RNAcentral
GUAGGUGGCAAGCGUUGUCCGGAAUUAUUGGGCGUAAAGCGCGCGCAGGCGGUCCUUUAAGUCUGAUGUGAAAGCCCACGGCUCAACCGUGGAGGGUCAUUGGAAACUGGGGGACUUGAGUACAGAAGAGGAAAGCGGAAUUCCAAGUGUAGCGGUGAAAUGCGUAGAGAUUUGGAGGAACACCAGUGGCGAAGGCGGCUUUCUGGUCUGUAACUGACGCUGAGGCGCGAAAGCGUGGGGAGCAAACAGGGAUUAGAUACCCUGGUAGUCCGACGCCGUAAACGAUGAGUGCUAAGUGUUAGGGGGUUUCCCGCCCCCUUAGUGCUGCAGCUAACGCAUUAAGCACUCCGCCUGGGGAGUACGGCCGCAAGGCUG